UCCUCGUCGUCCUCCUGGUUUGGAGUUAAC
Molecule: non-coding RNA, 30 nt
Filed under: Mus musculus (house mouse)
Lineage: Eukaryota; Metazoa; Chordata; Mammalia; Rodentia; Muridae
Source: RNAcentral